CAAGGGAGAAUUGAUUACUGCACCAUAGAUGGUUAAAGUCCAGUAAU
This 47-nucleotide ribosomal RNA is filed under the name Volvocales sp. NrCl902. RNAcentral's name for it is "3S rRNA". Lineage: Eukaryota; Viridiplantae; Chlorophyta; Chlorophyceae; Chlamydomonadales. The record is from RNAcentral.